AGCAGGAUUUCUUAGUGGAUGAGCAGGGCCUGGAUGCAGCUCUGGUGGUGACUGCGGUUCAGAUGGUGCCGGCGGAGGGGUAGAGAUGUCUUGUCUGUCCUGACCACCCUGGCGCUGGCCUCUUGCAAGGACAGCAGGAGCCUGGAGAAGGGGAACGCCUGGACGAGAGCGGGGCAGAGAAGAUGACGUCUCUCCUCCUUGAAAGUGCUCUGAGGCUGCACUCCUGCUCUGCGACACGUGUGCUGCAUCGCUUUGCCUCCUUCGGUGCAGCAAAUGGGUGUGGUUUGUUCGUUGAGAUGGCAUGGAGCGUGCCGAUCCCGUGGGUAACUGCAGGAGGAGCAGGAACCAGCCCUGGGCUUGCUGGCAUCU
Gymnogyps californianus (California condor) is the source of this 369-nucleotide long non-coding RNA. RefSeq lists it as uncharacterized. Lineage: Eukaryota; Metazoa; Chordata; Aves; Accipitriformes; Cathartidae. The record is from RefSeq and is a predicted model, not a curated record. The transcript is spliced from 3 exons.